Molecule: ribosomal RNA, 305 nt
Filed under: uncultured bacterium
Lineage: Bacteria
Description: bacterial SSU rRNA
Rfam family: Bacterial small subunit ribosomal RNA
Source: RNAcentral
AGGGGCCUACGGGGCGCAGCAGUGAGGAAUAUUGGUCAAUGGGCGGAAGCCUGAACCAGCCAAGUCGCGUGAGGGAAUAAGGCCCUACGGGUCGUAAACCUCUUUUGCCGGGGAGCAAGGGCCGGGACGAGUCCCGGUCCGGAGAGUACCCGGAGAAAAAGCAUCGGCUAACUCCGUGCCAGCAGCCGCGGUAAUACGGAGGAUGCGCGCGUUAUCCGGAUUUAUUGGGUUUAAAGGGUGCGUAGGCGGGCUUUUAAGUCAGCGGUAAAAAUUCGGGGCUCAACCCCGUCCGGCCGUUGACACUG